CCUACGGGAGGCAGCAGUGGGGAAUAUUGCACAAUGGGGGAAACCCUGAUGCAGCGACGCCGCGUGAGUGAAGACGUAUUUCGGUAUGUAAAGCUCUAUCAGCAGGGAAGAAGAAAGACGGUACCUGACUCAGAAGCCCCGGCUAACUACGUGCCAGCAGCCGCGGUAAUACGUAGGGGGCAAGCGUUAUCCGGAUUUACUGGGUGUAAAGGGAGCGUAGACGGCUGUGCAAGUCUGAAGUGAAAGCCCAGGGCUCAACCCUGGGACUGCUUUGGAAACUGUGGAGCUAGAGUGCUGGAGAGGUAAGGGGAAUUCCGAGUGUAGCGGGGAAAUGCGUAGAUAUUAGGAGGAACACCAGUGGCGAAGGCGGCUUACUGGACAGUAACUGACGUUGAGGCUCGAAAGCGUGGGGAGCAAACAGGAUUAGAUACCCUAGUAGUC
Molecule: ribosomal RNA, 441 nt
Filed under: uncultured bacterium
Lineage: Bacteria
Description: partial 16S ribosomal RNA
Rfam family: Bacterial small subunit ribosomal RNA
Source: RNAcentral